This 402-nucleotide ribosomal RNA is filed under the name uncultured Hyphomicrobiales bacterium. Its description in RNAcentral is "bacterial SSU rRNA". It matches the Rfam family "Bacterial small subunit ribosomal RNA", at positions 355 to 774 of the family's 1533-position model. The record is from RNAcentral. Lineage: Bacteria; Pseudomonadati; Pseudomonadota; Alphaproteobacteria; Hyphomicrobiales.
UGGGGAAUAUUGGACAAUGGGCGAAAGCCUGAUCCAGCCAUGCCGCGUGAGUGAUGAAGGCCUUAGGGUUGUAAAGCUCUUUUGUCCGGGAAGAUAAUGACUGUACCGUAAGAAUAAGCCCCGGCUAACUUCGUGCCAGCAGCCGCGGUAAUACGAAGGGGGCUAGCGUUGUUCGGAAUCACUGGGCGUAAAGCGCACGUAGGCGGACCGUUAAGUCGGAGGUGAAAGCCUGGGGCUCAACCCCAGAACUGCCUUCGAUACUGGCGGUCUUGAGUAUGGUAGAGGUUGGCGGAACUCCGAGUGUAGAGGUGAAAUUCGUAGAUAUUCGGAAGAACACCAGUGGCGAAGGCGGCCAACUGGACCAUUACUGACGCUGAGGUGCGAAAGCGUGGGUAGCAAACA